CACAUUUCUCAGAAAUUUGACAACAAAACAAAACAAAGCGAGAUAUGUCGAGCCAACAAAGAAGGCGCAGUUGGAAAAUUUAGUAAUUAGUAACGAAGUAGCAGGCAUAUUUGGAAAAUUAUGCCGAUAAACAGGAUGGAAUUUGGGAAAAAACGUUAUAAAUCGAGUGGCUCAUUUACGAUGUGCUCCAAACAUUUGGCGAACUUUUUUUCGCCUUUUCAACGUGCUAAGUAACAAGUUAAGAUGACUGCCAUCAUGGGCCGGUAAGAAACCGCAAGCAAAGGGCAGACAACCUUCCAGGAAGCUGCCUCCUGUCCCCGAGCCGAAGCUGCAGUUCAGCAAGAGCAGGUCAGCAAAUUGCUACCCUGAUCA
This is a long non-coding RNA of Rhagoletis zephyria (snowberry fruit fly), 372 nucleotides long. RefSeq lists it as uncharacterized. NCBI's taxonomy places the organism in Eukaryota, Metazoa, Arthropoda, Insecta, Diptera, Tephritidae. The record is from RefSeq and is a predicted model, not a curated record.